RNAcentral lists this long non-coding RNA (1039 nucleotides) under Brassica rapa (field mustard). Its description in RNAcentral is "long non-coding RNA (BRAP_LNC005036)". Lineage: Eukaryota; Viridiplantae; Streptophyta; Magnoliopsida; Brassicales; Brassicaceae. The record is from RNAcentral.
UGAAUUUUGUUUUUUGAAAAUCAGUUUCCUGAAUUACAAGAAAAUUAUUUUUCCAAAACCUUAGAAUGGUUGGUAAAGUGAUUAUCUGAAAAACAAAAACCAAAGUAUACGUCAAAAUCUUGAAAACAAAAUCAAGGCCCGAACGUGCUUGAGUAAUGCCCUCAUUAAACUUCCCACUAUUUCCAUAUAUUACUCUCUUUUUUUUUUUCUCUUUUUGUACUCUCUCAAAAAUAAUUUUGGGUUUCAUUCUUUUUCAGGAUCCAUGUAUAUUUUUUUAAUUGUGGCCAUUGGAUUUUUUUCAUUCAAGAAAUUCUUCUUUUCUACUUCAUUCAAGAAAUUCUUAAAUCUUAAAGUCGAUAAUCUAUUUCUUUUUGUGUUAAUAUGAAAAAAUUAUUUGAGACAACCCUCAUAUAGUCAUAUGUAUCAAUAAGUUUCAAUGCACAUGGGGCACAAAUAAUAUGUUUUUUCUUUUCCAGCCGCACAAAUAAAAUGCUCGAAAUAUAUAUAUACUUGAUGCAUUCUCCUAGCUAGUGAUAAUACUUGAUGCAUUGGAUUUAUGAUGGUGAACUAUUAAACUUUAAGAAGUCAAGCUGGUUUUAUAUAUUGAUAAAUAAUAUGAAAAUAUAUAGAGACGUAGUGUAGGCCACAAUUGUUCUUUGCGCUUGAAUUUGCAUUUAUAUUUUUCAUACUAUAAUUUGCUAAUCAUCAGAAUGAAUAAUCAAAGAUAAAUCAAAUUUAUAUUAUUAUUUCCUCUCUCACAAGAAUGAUAAAACAUAAUAAUGCGCAAAGGUUUUUUUUUUUUUUUUUGAACAUUAAUAAUGCGCAAAGGUUACGUGUUGGAGAAUGUUAAAGUGGAUUGGAUUAAGCACCCUUUUACCACGAGGUAAAAUAGCCGACCCAUGUAUGGAUUGCAUUUUGCCGGCCAGGUUCCUCUAGCUUUUUUCCAAACCGGGCUUACCAUUCAGAAUCGGUUCGUAGGUAACCAUUAUACAGCCAGUCACACUAACAGAUUUAACCAAUUAAAAUUAUAUUUGACACC